This is a long non-coding RNA of Felis catus (domestic cat), 1932 nucleotides long. RefSeq lists it as uncharacterized. The transcript is spliced from 5 exons. The record is from RefSeq and is a predicted model, not a curated record. NCBI's taxonomy places the organism in Eukaryota, Metazoa, Chordata, Mammalia, Carnivora, Felidae.
AACUGAGGUGAUCACCUACUGUAGCACUAACUAUCACAGAGGAAGAACCAUGAACACCAAAGAAUGAUACAAGGGAUCGCAAAUGGAAAGGUUUCUCACAUAUUCAGUCCACAUAAGAUGGAUCUGACAUGCAUAAGGUUUUGCCUUUGGAAUAUUGCAGAGUUGUUCGAUUGCACUCUACACAGCGAGCCAGAAGGCAACUGAUAAACUGAAAACUGGAUCUUAUCCAGAAAAAAAAAAUACAAGUCAAGCUAAAUACAUCAUUUCCUUAUGCAUGGUAUUACUUAAGAGCACAAUCCAGAUUACACUGCCCACUGCCCGCUAUGACAGUCCUGGUCUCUGCAAGCAACUGCACCUGGGAACUUAAUGUAUGUCCUGCCGUGGUCUCUGCUAUCACCCCCAGCCUGAAGGUUCCAGACACUAUGUUGAACACUUUAUCGGCAUUUAUAUAAUCCUGUUAAGAACACUAAGUGGGAACUCCGCUCCACCAAGUCUCUGGUCUGAGGAAAAGAGAUCUGAUAAUUACUUAGAUUGUGUUGUCACUACCAGGUACACUUGAGAUUUUUAAAAAGAGGACCACCACAGUCACCCUAAGGAAAUCGUGUAACACACUAUCUAGAAAAUCGUAAGUUCUCAUUGAACAUUAAUUCUCCUCUUAAAUUCUAGAAACUAAGAAAAAUAGUGCAUUUGUGGGCUGAAGUAUGUCACACUGGUAAUCUAGUCUUCAAUAUAUUCUCACCUCAUCUUAGAUUUUUCCACCUAUUCCAUAUUGAUAUGUAAGAAAUGUUUUGUUAAAGUAAGAUACUUUCCCUUUUGUGGUGAAGUCCUUUUUGUGUUAUAUUUAUUUACAUUUUGUGAACCCAUCUUACUAUGAUGGCUCUGCUGUUUAAUUUUACCUUUUCUAACAAUAGAUAUUUCUUCUCAAUAUGGGUUGUCAAAAAGUAAGCUUAGUAAAAAAGAAAUUCUCCUUAAGAAUCUUUAAGUGAAUUUUGAUUUAGUAGAAGAACUGAAUAAAGUCUAAUUACAAUAGACAACCAGUAUUAUCACUGAAGUGUCCAAAACAUGCUUUCAUUUAAUUGAGUCUAAAUUAUUUCUAUUACUCUAUUUCUAUUGGGAUUUAUGUUCCUAUUUCUAAACUAAACAGUAAUUAAAACUGUUAUCUAGAACCAGUACAUCAUAUUCUUGGUUAAAGAAUGCAAAAUGUAUUAGGUAAAAUUUCAAGCUAGAAUAACAAAGGCAGGGAAUUAGAUAUGUCUUUAAGAUCUAUUAGUUGUACAAAGGGAGUCUGAGGGACCAAUUCUAAGAGAACCAACUAUUGCAUGAUAUACAUGUUUUAAUUUCAUAUUCAACUCAGUUAUCACCUGCAAUAACGUCUGUACUGGCCAUUCAGCCUCUUAUGACAUGUUGACGAAGGUGUGAUUAACUUACUCUUAUUCCAGGAAAUAAGCAUAUGGAUAAAUAUAGAUAGACAUAUAUGCAUAUAUUUCCUUCCAGAAAAAAUAUACAAUCUUUAUACACUAUAAUAAUAAAAAAAAUAUGUAUAUAUGUGUGUGUGUACACACAAACACACACACAGAUGCACAUAUCCUGGGCAUAGUGGAUGAAGAAGGAAAUUUCUAUUAAAAAUUCUUAUGAAAUAAUUUUUAUUUCACAGUUUUUUAUCUUCAAUGUUAGAUAGGAAUGUAAUUUUAACUAUACUAAUAAAUAGUUUUCUUUCAACAAUUAUUUACAUCUUUUUGCAUUAUUUUUUUCCUCAUGUCCAUAUAGUUAAUUAGUUUCCUAUGGCAAAAGAAUACCCCACCAUUGACUACUCUUUUGUCAACCCUACCUUCUAUUACAUUUGGCUAUACUAGAAAAAUAUGAUAAGAUGGUCCACAGUAAUUAAUCAUAUAUAUAUUAGUACUUCCCAAUAUAUUAAGGCAAAGGCAGAUA